This 253-nucleotide ribosomal RNA is filed under the name uncultured bacterium. RNAcentral describes it as "partial 16S ribosomal RNA". It matches the Rfam family "Bacterial small subunit ribosomal RNA", at positions 524 to 776 of the family's 1533-position model. The record is from RNAcentral.
GACAGAGGGUGCAAACGUUGUUCGGAAUUACUGGGCGUAAAGCGCGUGUAGGCGGCUGCGUAAGUCGGAUGUGAAAGCCCAUGGCUCAACCAUGGAAGUGCACUCGAAACUGCGCAGCUGGAGUCUCGGAGAGGAAGGCGGAAUGCUUGGUGUAGAGGUGAAAUUCGUAGAUAUCAAGCGGAACACCGGUGGCGAAGGCGGCCUUCUGGACGAUGACUGACGCUGAGACGCGAAAGCGUGGGGAGCGAACAGG